This 776-nucleotide ribosomal RNA is filed under the name uncultured Neocallimastigales. RNAcentral describes it as "partial large subunit ribosomal RNA". It matches the Rfam family "Eukaryotic large subunit ribosomal RNA", at positions 18 to 644 of the family's 3401-position model. The record is from RNAcentral. Lineage: Eukaryota; Fungi; Neocallimastigomycota; Neocallimastigomycetes; Neocallimastigales.
UCAGACGAUGCGUCAUGCAUAUCAAUAAGCGAGGAAAAGAAACUAACAAGGAUUCCCCUAGUAACGGCGAGGUGAAGCGGGGAAGAGCUCAAAUUUGAAAUCUUAAAGGGUUUCCCUUUACGAAUUGUAGUUUAAAGAAGUGUUUUCUGUUGAGGUUUUGGUAAAAGUUCUUUGGAAUAGGACAUCAUAGAGGGUGAGAAUCCCGUAUUUGACCUUUACUUUCAACUUUGUGAUACACUUUCAAAGAGUCGGAUUGUUUGGGAAUGCAGUCCAAAAUGGGUGGUAAAUUUCAUCUAAAGCUAAAUAUUGGCGAGGAGACCGAUAGCGAACAAGUACCGUGAGGGAAAGAUGAAAAGAACUUUGAAAAGAGAGUUAAACAGUACGUGAAAUUGUCAAAAGGGAAGCGUUUGACACCAGUGUUGUUUUUCUGAAAAUCAAUUAAAGAACUGUUUAUGCUAAGCUGUUUAGACUUUAUCAGCUAUCUGUUUAGUUUUGAGCUUUUCUUUAAUGCACUUUUCAGUUAACAAGUCAACAUCAAUUUCUUUUGCUGUAAAAAAGCUUGAGGAAGGUGGCUUGAGAUUCGUCUUAAGUGUUUAUAGCCUCUUGCCUAUGCAGUCGGAGAGAUUGAGGUCUGCAGCGUAGAUCCUUCGGGGCUAAAUGCAUUUGUGCUGAGUUAUAACAUUUUAUAGACAACUUGUUGACUAUGAUUUGUCUUGUAGCUUACUCGCUUAUGUUAUUUUACCUACGCUUAGGAUGUUGAAUCUGUGCGAGACUAC